This 520-nucleotide ribosomal RNA is filed under the name uncultured bacterium. Its description in RNAcentral is "bacterial SSU rRNA". It matches the Rfam family "Bacterial small subunit ribosomal RNA", at positions 372 to 883 of the family's 1533-position model. The record is from RNAcentral.
UGGACGAAAGUCUGAUGGAGCAACGCCGCGUGAGCGAAGAAGGCCUUCGGGUCGUAAAGCUCUGUUGUUAGGGAAGAACAAGUAUCGGAGUAACUGCCGGUACCUUGACGGUACCUAACCAGAGAGCCACGGCUAACUACGUGCCAGCAGCCGCGGUAAUACGUAGGUGGCAAGCGUUGUCCGGAAUUAUUGGGCGUAAAGCGCGCGCAGGCGGUCCUUUAAGUCUGAUGUGAAAGCCCACGGCUCAACCGUGGAGGGUCAUUGGAAACUGGGGGACUUGAGUGCAGAAGAGGAAAGCGGAAUUCCACGUGUAGCGGUGAAAUGCGUAGAGAUGUGGAGGAACACCAGUGGCGAAGGCGGCUUUCUGGUCUGUAACUGACGCUGAGGCGCGAAAGCGUGGGGAGCAAACAGGAUUAGAUACCCUGGUAGUCCACGCUGUAAACGAUGAGUGCUAAGUGUUAGGGGGUUUCCGCCCCUUAGUGCUGCAGCUAACGCAUUAAGCACUCCGCCUGGGGAGUAC